Molecule: ribosomal RNA, 429 nt
Filed under: bacterium
Lineage: Bacteria
Description: partial 16S ribosomal RNA
Rfam family: Bacterial small subunit ribosomal RNA
Source: RNAcentral
UAGGGUAUCUUCCACAAUGGACGCAAGUCUGAUGGAGCAACGUCGCGUGAGUGAAGAAGGUUUUCGGAUCGUAAAGCCCUGUUGUUGGUGAAGAAGGAUAGAGGCAGUAACUGGUCUUUAUUUGACGGUAAUCAACCAGAAAGUCACGGCUAACUACGUGCCAGCAGCCGCGGUAAUACGUAGUUGGCAAGCGUUUUCCGGAUUUAUUGGGCGUAAAGCGAGCGCAGGCGGAAUGAUUAGUCUGGUGUGAAAGCCCACGGCUCAACCGAGGAAAUGCGUCGGAAACUGUCAUUCUUGAGUGCAGAAGAGGAGAGUGGAAUUCCAUGUGUAGCGGUGGAAUGCGUAGAUAUAUGGAAGAAAACAAGUGGCGAAGGCGGCGCUCUGGUCUGCAACGGACGCUGAGGCUAGAAAGCAUGGGGGGCGAACAGG